GUGACGCACAGUAGAGCCGCCCUGCCUAAUUUACACCGUGCUGUGAAUGAUAGACAGGGAGGCAGGCAUUUCGGCAGACAGCCUCUACUGCUGUGUGUCUGCGUGUCCUCAAAGCCGACCGUACGACCAGGCCCACUGACUGACCCUCGGCCUGAGACAGUCCGGGGAGGAUAGGAAGGAAAACAGCCCCAACAAAGACUCUCACAUGGCUGGAGAGAAAAAGAGAGGGAGCUAAUGGAGGAAAAAACACAGCCUCCCAAUCCAUCUGCUGAGUAAGGACCUGAGCCCUAGGACCAUGCCUCAGGACUACCUGGCAUGAUGACUCCUUGCUGUCCCCAGUCCACCUGGCCGUGCUGCUGCUCCAGUUUCAACUGUUCUGCCUGCGGCUAUGGAACCCUGACCUGUUCACCGGACGUGCUUGUUGCACCCUCGACAACUACUAUGAUUAUUAUUAUUUGACCAUGCUGGUCAUUUAUGAACAUUUUAACAUCUUGACCAUGUUCUGUUAUAAUAUCCACCCGGCACAGCCAGAAGAGGACUGGCCACCCCUCAUAGCCUGGUUCCUCUCUAGGUUUCUUCCUAGGUUUUUGGCCUUUCUAGGGAGUUUUUCCUAGGGAGUUUUUCCUAGCCACCGUGCUUCUUUCACAUGCAUUGCUUGCUGUUUGGGGUUUUAGGCUGGGUUUCUGUACAGCACUUUUAGA
This 701-nucleotide long non-coding RNA is filed under the name Salmo salar (Atlantic salmon). Its description in RNAcentral is "lncRNA (ENSSSAG00000090519.1)". Lineage: Eukaryota; Metazoa; Chordata; Actinopteri; Salmoniformes; Salmonidae. The record is from RNAcentral.